Molecule: ribosomal RNA, 484 nt
Filed under: uncultured bacterium
Lineage: Bacteria
Description: partial 16S ribosomal RNA
Rfam family: Bacterial small subunit ribosomal RNA
Source: RNAcentral
AUUGAACGCUGGCGGCAGGCCUAACACAUGCAAGUCGAGCGGAUGAAGGGAGCUUGCUCCUGGAUUCAGCGGCGGACGGGUGAGUAAUGCCUAGGAAUCUGCCUGGUAGUGGGGGAUAACGUCCGGAAACGGGCGCUAAUACCGCAUACGUCCUGAGGGAGAAAGUGGGGGAUCUUCGGACCUCACGCUGUCAGAUGAGCCUAGGUCGGAUUAGCUAGUUGGUGGGGUAAAGGCCUACCAAGGCGACGAUCCGUAACUGGUCUGAGAGGAUGAUCAGUCACACUGGAACUGAGACACGGUCCAGACUCCUACGGGAGGCAGCAGUGGGGAAUAUUGGACAAUGGGCGAAAGCCUGAUCCAGCCAUGCCGCGUGUGUGAAGAAGGUCUUCGGAUUGUAAAGCACUUUAAGUUGGGAGGAGGGGCAGUAAGUUAAUACCUUGCUGUUUUGACGUUACCAACAGAAUAAGCACCGGCUAACUUCGUG